This is a long non-coding RNA of Coregonus clupeaformis (lake whitefish), 546 nucleotides long. RefSeq lists it as uncharacterized. The record is from RefSeq and is a predicted model, not a curated record. Lineage: Eukaryota; Metazoa; Chordata; Actinopteri; Salmoniformes; Salmonidae. The transcript is spliced from 3 exons.
AGAGAGAAACAGAGAGAGAGAGAGAAACAGUCAUGGGUGAAGGUGGCUAUACAUCCUAACAGACAGAUGAUUCAGGCUGGCUGACAUAAUCACCACACCUCCCUGGAGGAACAGGACAAAGACAGGAAGCACAACUCAGAACUUCCUGUUCCUGUCUUCAAGGCCGUCUAGAGAAAUGAGAAAAGGAACGCCAGGGUCACGUUGAUCUACCUGCAUGCUAGCAACACCAGAGAGAGGGAACAAUGGGUUAAUCUGCCUGCCUGCUACCAACACCAGAGAGAGGGAACAAAGGGUUGAUCAAAGCUCUCUAUCCACUGGAGGACGUCCUCCGGAAGUUGUCAUAAUUACUGUGGUGGGAAGAGCUGACCAAUCAGAACUGAGGAGGAUUGUUACGGGGCCCAUGAGGAACACCUGACGCUCCGCUGACUUCUCUCUCCCGGAUGCUCUCCUGCCCAAACUGUCCCGUUGUCGGUUUCACCGCCUCUGAACCACCUUACCCCGAAUAGGAGUGUACCCAAUCCCAAUUUUAACUCCAUCUCCCUCUCU